UGCUUUAACAUGGGAGUACCUGC
This 23-nucleotide microRNA is filed under the name Echinops telfairi (small Madagascar hedgehog). Its description in RNAcentral is "Ete-Mir-430-P2_5p (mature (co-guide))". The record is from RNAcentral. Lineage: Eukaryota; Metazoa; Chordata; Mammalia; Afrosoricida; Tenrecidae.